RNAcentral lists this transfer RNA (72 nucleotides) under Bos taurus (domestic cattle). It matches the Rfam family "tRNA". Rfam says of the family: Transfer RNA (tRNA) molecules are approximately 80 nucleotides in length. Their secondary structure includes four short double-helical elements and three loops (D, anti-codon, and T loops). Further hydrogen bonds mediate the characteristic L-shaped molecular structure. tRNAs have two regions of fundamental functional importance: the anti-codon, which is responsible for specific mRNA codon recognition, and the 3' end, to which the tRNAs corresponding amino acid is attached (by aminoacyl-tRNA synthetases). tRNAs cope with the degeneracy of the genetic code in two manners: having more than one tRNA (with a specific anti-codon) for a particular amino acid; and 'wobble' base-pairing, i.e. permitting non-standard base-pairing at the 3rd anti-codon position. Lineage: Eukaryota; Metazoa; Chordata; Mammalia; Artiodactyla; Bovidae. The record is from Rfam by way of RNAcentral. RNAcentral also lists the same sequence under 5 other names.
UCCCUGGUGGUCCAGUGAUGAGGACUCUGCCCUUUCACUGCUGAGGUCUGGGUUCAACCCCUGGUCAGGGAA